This 451-nucleotide ribosomal RNA is filed under the name uncultured bacterium. RNAcentral's name for it is "bacterial SSU rRNA". It matches the Rfam family "Bacterial small subunit ribosomal RNA", at positions 354 to 796 of the family's 1533-position model. The record is from RNAcentral.
GUGAGGAAUCUUGCGCAAUGGGGGAAACCCUGACGCAGCAACGCCGCGUGAGUGAGGAAGGUCUUCGGGUCGUAAAGCUCUGUCAGGCGGGAAGAAAUGCAUGGAGGUAAACAGCCGCCAUGCUUGACGGUACCGCCAGAGGAAGCACCGGCUAACUCCGUGCCAGCAGCCGCGGUAAUACGGGGGGUGCAAGCGUUGUUCGGAAUCAUUGGGCGUAAAGAGCGUGUAGGCGGCUUGAUAAGUCAGAUGUGAAAGCCCUGGGCUCAACCCGGGAAGUGCAUUUGAAACUGUCAGGCUCGAGUAGGGGAGAGGGAAGUGGAAUUCCUGGUGUAGAGGUGAAAUUCGUAGAUAUCAGGAGGAACACCGGUGGCGAAGGCGACUUCCUGGCCCUAUACUGACGCUGAGACGCGAGAGCGUGGGUAGCAAACAGGAUUAGAUACCCUGGUAGUCC